CACUUUUUUGCUACUUCUGUAGGGACGAGGGUGGGGUCCGCGGGCGAGGAGAAAGAAAAAGCCGAAGUGAAUCUGCUGUUGUUAUCGAGGCUGUUCAGUGUGACCAAAGUAAGCAGCCUGUGCCUCCCUCCGCAGCUCCAGCGCGUGAGGGUCAGGCCUGUCGGAGGCGGAGGCGUUCGGAGCCACAAGCAGGACAAGGGCACGAGCCCCGCCGCGCCAGGCCUGAGCAGACCCGGGGCGGCGGGCAUCGGUCACCAAGCAGAGGGCGAGUUAGAGGCGUGGAGCCGGGGAAGGGCGCAUGCAGGUACCCUGACCAAUGCUCCCGCCCAGGUGAAUCUCAGCACUGCCAUGAGCAUCCUUGUCUCUGCAACAAUAGACCUGCUGUUGUCUAAGAAAACCACACAGGAGUGACAAGUGAGUGGCGCGCCUCUGAGCAGUCGUGCCACUUGCCCACGGACUCACUACUCGUUGAUGGCAGUGCUGGGACUCAAAAUCAAGAAAGCCCACUCUCAGUGCUCGAGUCCUCCCAUGCUGCCCCAUGACCUACCCACCUCCAAACAACUGUUGAUUGUCCCCAAAGUUAAAUCCAUCCUUCAAGAAUGCUAUUAGCUUCCAUAGAGAGCAUUACAAAUAACGUACCACAAUUCUAUAAACAUAAUUGACAAAAAUACUUAGCAACAGUAACACCGUGUGAGUGGAAUGCCUUCCAAAGUGAGUACUUCGAAAGAGACACGAUUUCUACAUAUAAGUUCUGGUUCUUAAAACUCAGUCUUUGAUUUCUAAGUUGCACGAUGUACCCUCCACUUAUAUAUUGUUCCCGUGAGGGGCAUCAAUGUGCCAGGUUUAGUUAUUAGUUUCCUUCAGGUCAGUAUCUCACUGGAAAAAUUUGACUCAGAUCACCUUACCAAAAAAAAAAGCUAAACUUUGAUCUGUAAUUAAUUGGUGCCUCUGUUUUCACAACUGUACCUUUUUAGAUAAGACUGCCAGAUUGCCUACCUAAUUGACUCGUGUAAACCAAGAGAAACUGUAGGGGUUUUUUAAUGCAUUUUCACCACACCCCUUUUUUAAGCCACCAUUGGGGAAAAAAAUUAUAACAAUAAGACAGGACAAGAGGGCUACCAUUGUUGACCAGUCUCCUUCCCACAAUAAGAAUGUUGGACUUUGGUCUUAAAUAAUAACUUUUGUUUUACAACAUAAUUUUUGCUGUUAUCAUGUCUUCAAAUAGAAGGUAACACAGAAUUCGGAGAAACAAAGAAGUGGAUAAAAUUAAAGUUGCCCCAACUAUAAUGAGACCAGCUUCUUUGGAUAAAAAGGAGGGGGGAAAAUGAGUAUUAAAGUCUAGGAAAGGAAAAAGAUUUUCACAAAGAUCACAUUUUUUUACUGAUAUGACCAAAGUGAGAAAGAAAAUAUAUCCUCAUUAAGCAAAAGUAAAACUUGCAUGAGAUUCUGUGCAGUGUAAGAGAAUCAUUCUGGUUUUUGUUAAGCCUGCUUCUUGUCUUCAAACAGUAUCUUCCCUGGAGCACAGCCAAACCAGCGAGGAUUAUGGUGGGUACAUCAGUGCGUACAUCUGAAAGGACUGGCAGACAAUAGGAAUUGUUUGCCCCUUGGAAAUUUUUAAUCCUUCCUUCGAAACCUAUAAAUUCUGCUGCAUGUCCCUCCACUUUUAUUCUUACCAUCAGGAUGCUCUAUGUGUGCAAACAAUCCUUGAUAGAUGUUUAGCUUAGAGCUGAACUCAACAUUUGAGUCCCUUACUUGUAUGAGCUGCUCUACGAUUCAGGAGAAAAUGAAAAGACAAAAAAAAAAAUCUAAUUUCCUCUCCAUUCCUCUCAAAAGAUCUCAAACACCUUUCAAGUUUUCUUGUAUCUUAAAGUAGUGUUUCUUUCACCCCAGAAUAUCUCUCUGAACUAAAAUUGUUUAGUUAUUAAACUGUGAACUUUAAAGUUAAAUUUUAGAUCCGGGAAAAAUAUGCCGUGUACCCAGAACAUCCGGGGACAGUUAAAUGGGAGGAAUCGGAUUUCUUAAGUUUAGAGGUGCAGUUUAUAUUUCGUAGCAUGAGAUUGUGUAUGUCAUGUUGUAUGAUGGGGCUAUCUGAGGUGGCCUGGAGGUGAAGUAGAAAGUCCCUUCCCUUGUGGUUGCCUCUGACGAGGUUCUGCAAGCACCCUAGUGUCUAAAGGCAUCGGGACACUCGGUUCAUUGUGUCAAGAAAAGAAACCUCACCGCUCUGUGCACGAUCGUGUGAAUGAAUAUUCAGCACCUCCAGCUCAGAUUCAUGGCUAAUGAUCUAGAUUCUGAAUUUUCAAGGGCUAAUUGUGUGGCCUCCUCCUUGCAUGCUGCCUUUUUUUUUUUUAGUAGUUUCAUUAUUUGUUCACACCUCCAGGAGAAGAAGUGGAGAAAGAAGAUGAAACAUAAAUUCAUCAACUUUUUUCAACUACAUCCUCAUUGCCAAACUUCUCUCGUUCCAAAAGGGCUUGUGGGAGAGCACAGAACAGUUGGGGGAGCAAUCUUUUGCUGUGCCAACAAAAAUGUAACACAGGGCACGCUUCCUCACAUCAGGACCAACAGAGUCCUCUUCAAACAGAAAGACAGUAUCCGAAGUUAAUAUUUGACUAUGGCACUGAAAGAAAAAAAAAAAAAGCCUGGCUAAACCCAGGAGCCAACCAUCUGAAGGUUUCAAUUACCCAAGUGCUGACCUGAGCAGAGAGACUGCAGCACCGUGUGUGUGUGUGUGUGUGUGUGUGUGUGUGUGUGUGAUACAUACAGAGUGUACACAGCUGAAAACGGAUUGGCUCUGUUGCCUCCUUCCACAGGUAGCCUUAAACUAAGAGGCAUGAGAUUUAGUUUGUUGGUUCUUGAUGACUUUCAUAGAGUUUGCUGGCCCCAUUUUGUAAGGCCUUUUAGGAGGCACUUGGAACUAAGGCCAUACACAAGACAGCCAGUGUUUCCGAUGCCGUUACGGGUACAGUCAUGAGAAACUGAAAAUACGCCCAUGCAGAGCUUUUGUUUAUUGGUGAUGGUUUGAGGAAUACAGAGACCACAAGCAAAAUUGUGAAGUUGAGGGGACUUCUUCUUGACACAGGCCUGCCUCUCUUUUGAAUCCUCCUGUGUCCUGAUGGUACCACCCCUCACCCCCACCCCCUGUCAUAGUGCCUGGCUCCUGUCCCCAGCAAAAGAGGGGAGGACGAUCCAUCAGUACGAGUGAUAUCCAGUCCAUAAGUGACAAGCUUAAUCUCGUCCACCCCUUCGCAUUACCCUCCGUAUAAAAGCGCAAACCUCUUAGCCUGACUCCCUUGCUGCCCGCUCUACCCUCACCUUCUCUUCUCUGUCUUGUCUCCAGCCACACGAGGUUCCUUUCCUUCCACAAGCUCUGCUCCCUUUUUGCUGCUGGGCCUUUGAACACUCUGUUCUCCAUGCCGGGAACACUCUCCUCCCCUCUCCCCCAGCCAUCUCCCAGGAAGCCAGCCUUGACCCUGCAGCCUUGGUCAGCUCUGCCCCUCAAGCCCUUUCCUAGAUCACCCCUGCUUCUCCUUUGAAAGUCCCCAUGUCAGGGUUGGUCUUUCAUGUCAUGUUGUGUUCCCUCCUCAGUUAUCAGCCUGUGAGUGUCUGAGCUCUUACGUGUGUACUGCCGCAGUCCCAGCACAGAGCCUGGCCCACAGCAAGCGCCAAAUAAAUAUUUUCCAUGCUCUUAACUACACUUUAGUGUUUCCCAUGUGUUAGGGAUACCUGUUGCCCUGACCACAUCAAUUCCUUCAGGAGUCCCCUUUCCUAGUCCCUCCUCAGUGCGCAUCAAAGCAUGUGACCUUGCAUUUCAUGGCCUCAAGUAACUGGACAACUGCUAGAUAGCUGACACAGGAGAUUUCAUCCACAGGCCAACAGUGAACUGAGACUUGGGGCCUUGUUCAAAUGACAAUAUGGACCAAUCAGAUUCCUCUCUGGAAAGUCUGGAAUUGGGAUAUGAGUAUUAGUCCCGACAUUAGUGGAUGCCAGAGAUAGCCAGUCCUGACAUACAUGAUAUAUAGAGAAUUGGAUGGGGCCGUGUGGGGUCUUGUAUGGUUACUAAAGUCGAGAGCUGGUUGAAGCAGAAGAGCAGAACAUAUAGUCAGAAACAGACGUGAGAGAGACCAUGUGUCACUUAAGACUGAGAGAGACCAACUCCAGCUCCUGAUUUUUCUAGUUCCCAGUUUCUGGGAUUUCUGUUCCUUAUAACCAAAGGAUUUGUGAUUAGAACCCAUUGCCUCAAGAUUUCUAGGCCCCAAGGACCCCAGUUAGUCCUUCCAGGUGAACCCAAGAGGAGAAACAAGCAACACCUGUUGCCUCCCCUCUUUGAUGGCAGGGGAAGCAACAGGUGGUGCUGACCCCUGGGGGGCUUCUGUUACCUCCAGUCCCUCCCCGGGGAUGACCCUGACUGAGUACCCACAUGGCAGCAUGACUGCUCAAAGCUGAGCACCUCUAAUGACUGGGGAUGCGAGCAAAGGUGCCCAGUGGUACAGCUUUGAUCUGAGUGUUCAGAGCCACGUAGCAACCAACCCCAUGUGCCAGGUUUUCAUGAGCCUAGGCUGGAAUAGCAAGCCACUUAAAAGUGAAGUUCUGGUAUUCAGUAAUGCCAAAGAUUCACUGAGAGACAGAAAGGAAUAAUACUAGUAUAAUGAUGGCAUUGAAAUAAUGUUUUAUGUUUCACGAAACCCUUUUACUUAAAUCACCUCAUUGGAUUCUUGCCGCAAUCCUCUAUCUAUUCGGUCACUGAGCUUUGCUAAUUUUAUAUUCUGAACUUCCUUUGAUUCUGUCUCCCUCUGUUCUUGUAUUCUUAUUUCCUUAAGAAUAAAGUUCAAUGUGAAGAGCCUUGCAAAGUCACGCUAAGAAUUUUGAACUUUAUUCUUAAGGUAAUGUAAAGCCCUGGCCAAGAUUUGAGCAGGAGAGUAAUGUGUUUAGAUUUACAUUUUGAAUGUAUCACGGGGCUGCAGUGUGGAUAAUGGACUAAUGGAGGGGAAGAAUGGAAGCAGGCACAUCGGCAGCAAGGCUGCUGCAAACACCCAGCAGAGAGACACCGGUGGCUUGGACAAGGUAGAGAACUGGGUAUGAGGGCGGAAAGAAAAGUGCCCAAGUAUCUGACUUAAGCAAGGUGGGGAUGGUGUUUCCAUGAUAGAGGAUUAAGUGACUUCCAAAGAAUAUCUAAAUCAUACAACUUCAAUUCUUUUGAAGGAAUAUCUACUUUUAUUCUGAUGAUUUUAUGGGUGUAUACAUAUGUCCAAACUUAUUAAAUUGUACAUUUUAAAUAUGUGCAAUUUAUUAUAUGUCAGUCAAACCUCAAUAAAGCUGUUAAAAAUGGAAAAAAAAACCAUGUGGUCAGUAUUUGUGGUCUAAGUAGAACCUGAAGAAAAAUCAAUGUUUAACCAAGAUAGUAUUUGAAGAUCAGGUGUGUAAAUAAGUUAGUGAUGAUGCCCUGGAGUGUGAGUUUGACCUUCAAAUGUCUAACAUUUUUUUGCGGCUACUGUGAGGAAGUUUCCUGAUUUAUUUUUACUUC
This is a long non-coding RNA of Orcinus orca (killer whale), 5518 nucleotides long. RefSeq lists it as uncharacterized. The transcript has 3 exons. Lineage: Eukaryota; Metazoa; Chordata; Mammalia; Artiodactyla; Delphinidae. The record is from RefSeq and is a predicted model, not a curated record.